RNAcentral lists this ribosomal RNA (253 nucleotides) under uncultured bacterium. RNAcentral describes it as "partial 16S ribosomal RNA". It matches the Rfam family "Bacterial small subunit ribosomal RNA", at positions 524 to 776 of the family's 1533-position model. The record is from RNAcentral.
UACGUAGGGUGCGAGCGUUGUCCGGAAUUAUUGGGCGUAAAGAGCUCGUAGGCGGUUUGUCGCGUCGGGAGUGAAAAGCUGGGGCUUAACCCCAGUCCUGCUUCCGAUACGGGUGGACUAGAGGUAGGUAGGGGAGAUCGGAAUUCCUGGUGUAGCGGUGAAAUGCGCAGAUAUCAGGAGGAACACCGGUGGCGAAGGCGGAUCUCUGGGCCUUACCUGACGCUGAGGAGCGAAAGCAUGGGGAGCAAACAGG